CGAACGCUGGCGGCACGCUUAAUACAUGCAAGUCGAACGAGAAAGUCACUUCGGUGGCGAGUAUAGUGGCGCACGGGUGAGUAACGCGUAGGUGAUAAACCUUGAGAUGGGGGACAACAGAGAGAAAUUUCUGCUAAUACCGCAUAAGUAGGGAAGCUUUGGAUAGCUCCUUAGAAAGGUGGUCCUUCGGGGCCAUUGUCUUGAGACUGGCCUGCGUACCAUUAGCUUGUGGGUGGGGUAAUGGCCUACCUAGGCAAUGAUGGUUAACCGGUCUGAGAGGAUGAUCGGUCACACUGGAACUGAGACACGGUCCAGACUCCUACGGGAGGCAGCAGUAGGGAAUAUUGCGCAAUGGGGGAAACCCUGACGCAGCGAUGCCGCGUGAGUGAGGAAGGCCUUCGGGUUGUAAAGCUCUGUCCUUGGGGAAAAAAUGCUUAAGUCGGAAAUGGCUUAGGAGUUGAUGGUACCCAAGAAGAAAGCACCGGCUAACUUC
RNAcentral lists this ribosomal RNA (493 nucleotides) under uncultured bacterium. Its description in RNAcentral is "bacterial SSU rRNA". It matches the Rfam family "Bacterial small subunit ribosomal RNA", at positions 30 to 504 of the family's 1533-position model. The record is from RNAcentral.